Molecule: unclassified non-coding RNA, 169 nt
Filed under: soil metagenome
Description: partial internal transcribed spacer 1
Source: RNAcentral
ACACUAAUGAAAUCCAAAACCUUUUGGAUCAACCCAACCUUAGCGAACCGUUCGUAUUUUCCCUUUGCCCAAUUUUACCAAACGCAAAAACUCUGAUGUAAAGUGUCUGAUUCUUAUUCUCGUUUCGGUUGUAAUGACCGAGCGGCGGGAAUCAAAAUCUAACGCAAUA